RNAcentral lists this ribosomal RNA (200 nucleotides) under Salmonella enterica subsp. enterica serovar Weltevreden. RNAcentral's name for it is "partial 23S ribosomal RNA". It matches the Rfam family "Bacterial large subunit ribosomal RNA", at positions 586 to 788 of the family's 2925-position model. The record is from RNAcentral. Lineage: Bacteria; Pseudomonadati; Pseudomonadota; Gammaproteobacteria; Enterobacterales; Enterobacteriaceae.
GGGUGGGGUGACUGCGUACCUUUUGUAUAAUGGGUCAGCGACUUAUAUUCUGUAGCAAGGUUAACCGAAUAGGGGAGCCGGAGGGAAACCGAGUCUUAACCGGGCGUUAAGUUGCAGGGUAUAGACCCGAAACCCGGUGAUCUAGCCAUGGGCAGGUUGAAGGUUGGGUAACACUAACUGGAGGACCGAACCGACUAAUG